GGAGGGGGUGACUUGUAGUAGUAUGGUAGUGGUAUGGUGGUGGUGGUGGUGGUGAUGGUGGGGGUGGUGACUUGUAAUAGUAAGGUGGUGGAGGAGAUGGUGAUGGUGGAGGAGGUGACUUGUAGUGGUAUGGUGGUGGAGGAGAAGGGGAUGGUGGAGGUGGUGACUUGUAGUAGUAGGGUGGGGGAGGAGAUGGUGAUGGUGGAGGGGGUGACUUGUAGUAGUAUGGUGGUGGUGGAGAUGGAGAGGGUGGUGGUGGUGACUUGUACAUGUAUGGUGGUGGUGGGGAUGGAGAGGGUGGUGGUGGGGAUUUAUACAUGUAUGGUGGAGGGGGAGAUGGGGAUGGAGGUGGUGGAGACUUGUACAUAUAUGUGGAG
Populus euphratica (Euphrates poplar) is the source of this 377-nucleotide long non-coding RNA. RefSeq lists it as uncharacterized. The transcript has 4 exons. The record is from RefSeq and is a predicted model, not a curated record. NCBI's taxonomy places the organism in Eukaryota, Viridiplantae, Streptophyta, Magnoliopsida, Malpighiales, Salicaceae.